AACGAACGCUGGCGGCAUGCCUAACACAUGCAAGUCGAACGAGACCUUCGGGUCUCGUGGCGCACGGGUGCGUAACGCGUGGGAACCUGCCAUUAGGUUCGGAAUAACUCCCCGAAAGGGGUGCUCAUACCGGAUCAUGUCUUCGGACCAAAGAUUUAUCGCAUUUGGAUGGGCCCGAGUUGGAUUAGUUAGUUGGUAGGGUAAAAGCAUACCAAGGCGACGAUCCAUAGCUGGUCUGAGAGGAUGAUCAGCCACACUGGGACUGAGACACGGCCCAGACUCCUACGGGAGGCAGCAGUGGGGAAUAUUGGACAAUGGGCGAAAGCCUGAACCAGCAAUGCCGCGUGAGUGAUGAAGGCCUUAGGGUUGUAAAUCUCUUUUACCCGGUAUGAUAAUGACAGUACCGGGAGAAUAAGCUCCGGCUAACUCCGUG
This 433-nucleotide ribosomal RNA is filed under the name uncultured bacterium. RNAcentral describes it as "partial 16S ribosomal RNA". It matches the Rfam family "Bacterial small subunit ribosomal RNA", at positions 29 to 507 of the family's 1533-position model. The record is from RNAcentral.